GUGCUUAUGAUGCGAAUUUAAUUAUCUUGGCGGAUUUCAGUGAGAUCCUAGUGUCAAUGAUCUGAUUGUUACACACACUGAAGCCC
Molecule: small nucleolar RNA, 86 nt
Organism: Argentina anserina (silverweed cinquefoil)
Lineage: Eukaryota; Viridiplantae; Streptophyta; Magnoliopsida; Rosales; Rosaceae
Product: small nucleolar RNA R11/Z151
Exons: 1
Source: RefSeq, a predicted model, not a curated record